This is a non-coding RNA of Odocoileus virginianus texanus, 5287 nucleotides long. The record is from RefSeq and is a predicted model, not a curated record. Lineage: Eukaryota; Metazoa; Chordata; Mammalia; Artiodactyla; Cervidae.
CACAAUUAGCAACUACUUUAUGACUUUAAGUCAGAAGUGGUCACUGACACUCACAGAGAUGCAGGUAGGCAUCUCUGUGAGGAGACAUAAUUCUGUAACAUGGUUAAAAUAGCUCUAGAAAACUAACUCUUAAAAGAGAUGCCCACGGAAAUCUCAUUAGUGUGUCUCAAUGGAAGGCAGUGUUUACAGUCUCUUCUCACUCAUCUGCAAGCUUGAGGCCACACAGUGUGGGAGGCAUUCCUUUCUGAUUCCCACAAUGUCGUUUUAAAGAUGUUACCACUUUGACCUGUCCCUGCUGCUUCAGCCAUGGUCCCUUCAGGCACCUCUGAUUUCCCAUCACCCACUGCCUGUAACGUCAAAGCUCUCCAUUUCCAAGCCAUAACCAGACUGGCCAUCAGGCUGGCGGAGGGUAUGGAGACUGAAGACAGAAUGGGAGCUCAGACACUGCCCGUGCGUGGCACCUUCAUUCCUUACAACCAGACCGCCUCAUCUGCAGACGGAAUUGCCACAUGGGCUCUUUGACGCCACACCUACCCUGUGACGCAGAAGGGCUUUGUGAUGCAGUCUGGUAGCUUGGUUCCGCCGUCUGUGAGGCGGAGACGGAUGUGUAGCCUUGGAAGUCAGUAGGUGCCAGGACUCUGAAUGCCUACAUUCAUAGGGAUGGUUGGUCUCCUCGUGAUUAUGAGGUUUAGACCAUGCUGAGCCAGACUUUUGUUCUGUGGGAUUUGGGGUAUCCCUUAUAUACCUAUGGCUCCAUCUUCAUUAUUAUUCUAAUCAUCUGGCAAGUGAAAAAGAGUUACCAUGGAUUAACGGAACAUAAAAGGAGCUGCUGCCGGCGUCACCGAAAAGUCAGGCAAAGGGCUAGAGAUGCAGCAUCAAGAGCUAGGAGACAUUCCCAGAAAGAAGCUGACAAGCUGUGGGAGCUGCUCUCAGUCAUGAGAAGCCAGGGCUGGCUACCUCAGGAGGGGAGUGUGCGGCAGAUCCUUUGUACAGAUCCCUGCUGCCAAACCUGCAACACCAUGGCUCUGGAGAUUCAGCAGUUGUUGGGUGAGAACACCCUAAUCUCCCCCACUUCAGGGGAUACCUCUCAGGGCUCCUCUUGCCUAGAGGUUUUGUCCAUGUCUAAUGUGUCUUUUGAGCAGAGUCUGGAGCAUCGUUCCCCACACUCCAAAGACCUUUCACUUCCAUCUGCAACCCUCACAGUGUCACAGAAAUCCUUAGCCCAGUCAGCGGCCCAGUCACCUGGUGCAGCCGGCAUCCAUGAUUACUGGGCUGAACAUCUCAAGCUAAGGCAGGGAUUCCAAGUGCUAGAGGUCCCCUCAGGGACUGAGGAGCCUAGAAUUUCAGUGAAUCUGCAGGAGACGAUGCAGAGUAACCUCAGCCUCAUCUGUGGGAACCAAGUCCAGCAGCCCUUAAAUCCUCAGGUCUCUCUGCUGACCCUGAAACAAGAAAUUACUGCCCUGACACAUCCAGUGGCCUUGCCGAUGGUCACUGUCCUCCCUGCCCACCUGCCGUUCCUGAGUCCUGAAGUCCUGAGACUUCUUGAGGUCCAUGUGAAGAAAUGGAUGCAUUUCCAGAGGUGGGGGCUCCCCAGGCGUGUAGAAGAGUCCCUGAGGAAGCUGAUGCCAAACCCGCCACUAUUUUACCAAACUGUAUGUAACCAACCAGUUUCUUUCAUCCACAAUAAUAUUUCACAUUUCUCUGUUGAGAAACUUGGGGCCAUUUCAUACCAGAACUGGGGCUCAGGUAUGGCUGGCCAGCCUACUCAGGCCUUCUGGGUUUCUGAAUGGUGCAUUACGGAUCCAGAACAAAGACACCUCUACCAGCAAAUCCCCAACCAUAAGGCUUUAGCCUGGCCCUCUUCAGCCCUUAAAGAAUUAAGUGGCCUCUAUCUAAUGUCUGAGCAACAGGCUAGUGACUCAGUGGGCCCCAUGCAGCCAAAAUACAGCCAGCUAUUCUGUGGCCUGCCUUCUCUGCACAGUGAGUCGCUGGUUGACACCUUCUUGGCUUCUCAAGGCCUCUGCAAGGAUGAGAGCAUGUCCAAGCCCCACUUGAAGGAUCCCUUUCUCCUCAAGGAACUCUCCUUCCUCCCUUUGCUGCCUAAAACUCCAACCCAGUCAACUCCACUCUCUCCUCUGUCUUCUCAAAAUUGUGUUGCUCCAUCUGAUCACCAGCAAGCUCACAUCAGUGUCCCAUUUCUGACUCUGGACGAGUGUGAAGCCCUGGAGUGGCACCUGCUGCAGAGGCAGCUCCAGCUUCAGUGGGACUUGCCAGAUGUUUUCCAGAGAGAUCAACAUGUCCAGAGCCCCGUGCAGUGUCAGCCCGGUGACAAAGCCCAGUCUUCUGAGACUCUGAAAACUUCCUGGCCGGGGCAGCCUGUCCCAGGCCUCACAAGGGAACUACUCUUCCCGCAGCACACCAGGCGGCUGCUGGAAUACCACCUCCAGAGACAGCUGAUUCACCACCGCUGGGGCCUGCCCCAGAAGAUCCAGCAGUCCAUCCAGUUGCUCCUGUCCCCCACUAACCAGCAGACGGUGUCCUGGAGCAGCACAGCCCUGGGCGGUGUGAAUGGCCCCCAGCCUACAUGUCUGGAGGCCACUGGAGCUGAUGACCCAUUCUCACCUAUUGUGGACCCAUUGUCUGUCCCCAUGCCACACUUGUUUGACCAGGCCAAGGCAAUAUUGCGGGGCCAUAUCAACUCCAAAUGUGGGCAAAUUCACCAGGGCAACAUCCCUGCCUGUGUGUAUAGUUCUUGGGAGUGCAUAAUUCCUGGGGUCCUAGAAGUGACUCCCUUCCACUGCAUCCUGGAAAGCAAGCCCCUGGAACUCCAGGCAGCAGCUGACGAGGAGCCUCAACAGGAAGUGACACCCAGGAUGCCAGUGGCCCUUGAUCAGCAGCAGCAGGUCUCACCAAAAGCUGUCUUUGAACAUCCUAAGCUGCCCGGAGUCCUGUCAGAGGCAGCCCUUGAGAAACUGGAGACAGCUUUGCGGCACAAGUAUCUGGCCUUCCUGUCAGGGCUGCCGGCUCUUUAUUGUGUGGCUCUCUCCAGGGCCAUGGCCCCAGCAACCACGUCAAUCACGUCCCCAGCUGUGAUCACAGAGAUGGUGCCUGAGCCUGCUGAAUUCUCAACAGAACCUCUGACUCAGGUGACCUCGCCUGAAGAGCAGGGUCCAAGUCCUGGGCCAGGCCUUCAAGAGGCCAAUGAGACUCUUUCAAACACUGCAGAAGAAUUCCAGGUUGAUGAGCAGGUGGAAGGAGUAAUUGAGAUGCUGCCUAUAGAAAGCCAGACAGAGUCUGAGAGGCCCUCUUUACUCGGGGAACACAUCUUGGCCAAAAUGAAUUUCCAUCUGAGAAAGAAGAUCCUAGAAGCACAAAUUGGAAUUCCCAUAAAGGCGAGAGAGUCUAGGGAACAAAGUGUAGGAACAUCAGAGGAUGUAUGUACACAGGAGUCUCUUGAGAGUUUAAACAACCAAGGACAACCACUGCUCCAGGAACUCCCCAUCCCACCAGAUGUGCCGUGUGCCCCAGACCCAGAGUGGCUCCACCUCAAAGAACAGCUGGCCACUGAGUUAAAGGCGGUGCACCAGAAACAGAAGCAGCCCAGUUCCAGCAUAGUACCCCAUAGUUCUGGCCCCUGGGCUUCCAGCGCCUUACUCAGUGGGGACAUGACAGAGGCCCAGGUGCUUUGUGUUCAGCUGGAGGCCAGUGUGAACAACCCCAGUCUGGAGGAGCCUUGGAGCCCUGAGCCCCAUAGCCCUGACAAGAGCAAGGACUCAGCCCAAGUCCCCACAUUGGCAGAAAAGAGAGAGGAGUCAGGCAAACCCAGAUUGGCUGGGGACCAUGGAGAAGGGGAUGCCGGGUUCACACUCUCCUCCACGAGAGAAAAAAGCCACUCUGUUGAAGGCCAGAGGCCAGAAGGGAUACUUCUGAACAGGACACCCCGCAGCCCCUGGCAACAGAGACGUCGCUUUCACCCUGAUGCUUCCUGUCAACACAGUCCUCGGCAUUGCCCUCCGCCUAAACUCCCAGAGCUCCCUCCUGGAGUCCCUGGGGGGAAGGAUUCUGAGAAGAAGGACCUGCAGGACAGUCAAGCCAAGCUCAGUGUCACCCUCAAACCAGCAAGGGUUCCUGAGAAUGCCCAGCCUGUGGUGCCCCAAGUGUCACGGGGCCAGCCUUUCCUGGGCCAGCUCACAGGGGGUAAACCAUUGCAGGGCCGAGCUUUACAAGGUCAGGUCUUCCAGAGGCAGGUGGUGCAAGGUCAUCCUCACAAGAGGCCCAGCCUUCCAGAAUCUGGCCUGAGAAAUAAGAUGAAAUCUCUUCUGCAUUGUAUUACACCCAAGGCAAAAGGCAAAGGGCAUGAGGCAUCUAUGUCCUCUACCUCUGAGAAAGUGGCCUGCCCCAGAAGAGAAAAUGUGGAAAAAAUCUCAGCUCCAGCCAAAAGUCCCAAGGGGCGAACUAAGACAGGGAAUUCAAGAGGGGGCCCCAAGGCCCAGUUUCCACCCCCUGAGAAGCAGAUGGGCCUAGCUUGCAUGGAUGUUGCCCACUCCCCAGACAGUAAGCUCCGGCACCACUCCCACCCCCAUCAACUGCACUUGGGCUCAGUCCUGGGCGCCCCCCGCCACUGCCCGCGGCACUGUCCGCGAGGGGCUUGUGCCACCCCACCAAAGAGCCCACCCUAAGCCUCAGCUCUCGCCUUGGAAGGAAACUGGUCUGCACAGGAAGACCCAACACAGUCAGAAGACUUUGUAGUCUCCCCAGUGCCUGCAUCCUUUGAGGAGGAAUGCUCCUGUCAUUUUUAUUAAUGUGCAGGCUUUUCCAGACACCCACUGUCCUACUUUAACUUGGAAAAACUUAACCAAUCCUUUAAGGCAAGGUGGAAAUGUGCCCUUGGCUGACGUCUCCCUCCUCUUCCUCUAGAAGCAGAGUUUUCUACAACCUCUAUGUGUUAUUCUACUUUCCCUGCCCUGAAAUAGGUAUGUAUGACUGUCAGUGGUGGGAUCAUGCAUCCAUAAAAGCACAGUGUCUGGUCCAUAAUAAUCACUUAAUAUGUGUUAAAUUGAGCUAACCUAAUGAAUUAAACUGGCAUAAGGUAAAUAUGCUGACUAGCUAGAUAAUAGACGAUUCAUUAUUCAGCCAACCCUUAUUUAGGAUUCAAUAGAAUCACAGGUAUCUGAAAGAUAAUCUAGUUCUGGUUCUUAUAUUUUGUAUUUUAUGGAGAAUUUAAUUUGAAGAAAGGCUUCUACAGCAUAAAACAGCAUGAAAGCCACUGAUACUGGACAAACUAUUU